UGAGAUACUUGGGUCCUGGGUGAGG
This 25-nucleotide non-coding RNA is filed under the name Mus musculus (house mouse). Lineage: Eukaryota; Metazoa; Chordata; Mammalia; Rodentia; Muridae. The record is from RNAcentral.